UUAACCCUAGAUACUCUCUCUCUCUCUCUCUCCCCUUUCCCCGCCCACUCUCUCUCAUCGGUGAUCUUUUUCUCACUUCACAACAAUAUCUCCUCCAAUUCUCUGUCCUUUCUCUCGCGACUCUGGCUCCGAUGAAGCUCUUCUCUCCUAUGCCGCAUAAGAUUUUCUCUCUCUUUGGAUUUGUGAGUCGUAUGAGGUCAAAGCCAUUGUAAAACUUAUGAUGGUAUUUUGGCUGUUUUUCACAAGUGGCAAAAUGAUUUUUUGCAGAAUUGGGACAGUUGCAGAACAUUGUGUCUUUGAUACUUAACAACAACAACAUACAAGGGGAGAUACCUGCUCAGCUUGCCAAUUGUCUAAGUCUUGCAUCCUUGAAUGUUUCUUACAACAAUCUGUCUGGAGUUGUACCUCCUAUAAGGAACUUUUCUAAUUUGUCACCAGACAGCUUCAUUGGAAAUCCAUUGUUGUGUGGAAACUGGUUGGGGUCUAUCUGCAGACCUUAUGUGCCAAAAUCGAAAGGAGUAUUCUCUAGAGCUGCACUUGUAUGUAUGACGUUGGGCUUCAUAACACUGCUAUCUUUGGUAAUAGUUGCAAUUUACAAAUCUCACCAACCAAAUGAAUUGAUGACAGGAUCUGGAAAGAUUGGUCAAGAUGCAACUAGUUCUUUUGAUUGGCACAAAGCUACAACAUAUUAUUGCGACCCUGGCACAAGAGAAUGCUGGUUUAAGAGUUCAUGGAGAAAGGAAGAGGCCAGGGAUGAUCUUUUCUGGUUUAAGAAGCCAGAACUUCCGUUAUCACUGAUCCAUUUUUGUUCUAUUCCAGUGGAGGUUCUCUGGGAAUAAUGGUCUUUAUGGUGAAAAUGGCAUUGUCACUGGAAGAAAAUGUCCCAAGGGCCUCUAUGGCACUUACUGCAGGGAAUGCCCCAUUGGCACAUAUAAAGAUACUGAUGGCUUAGAUGACAAUCUUUGUGUUCCUUAUUCACUUGAUCUUCUUCCUAGUCGUGCUGAGUUCAUAUAUAUAUGUGAGGUAGCUUUACAUAUCCUAUUUACUUCUUUGUAGAAUUUUUGGUUCCUAUAAGUGUAUAUCUGACAUGUGUGAACUCUUUCUCUCUCUCCCGUUCUUUCGAUUUUGUUUGGGUAAUUUGAUUUGUAUUGUUGAUUUCAGUGGUAGAGGGAUUUGAUUCAAUGGCUCUCACUUCAAGACCAUCACGGGUACCUGCAAAGCUAUUCUUAUGCUAUUCUCUGUUGAUGUCGCAUUAGAGUUUUAAGGUCUAUGCUACUUUAUUCACUCCAAUCGCGCUAUGGAUUUCGUGGAUGACCAAGUGUAUAUGAUCGACUCCUAAGGAUGACCACUAGAGCGACCCCAAUACUAUAACAGACAAUAUCGAUGUCGCCGAAGUCAUUGGAGAAGAAGAGCAAAGACGAACGCCAUCCAUGGCUAUUGGUGCUAUUGGUUCGUUGUCCGCUUUUUUAGUGAAAUAUAGAAGUUUUUUUUAAAUUUUAGCAAAACUUUGUUAGCUAGAAUUUUAUUAUGAUGACUUUGAUUCUCUAAAUUCUACUUUUUGAAAGUUAUUCACUUCUUAAGUGAAACAUGUAUUUGGACCGUGUUAGUUAAUAUGAUGAUAUUGACAUUUUUGUAAA
Long non-coding RNA from Humulus lupulus (European hop), 1637 nucleotides. RefSeq lists it as uncharacterized. The record is from RefSeq and is a predicted model, not a curated record. The transcript has 9 exons. Lineage: Eukaryota; Viridiplantae; Streptophyta; Magnoliopsida; Rosales; Cannabaceae.